CCCCGACAACAGGGGCGUGUCCUUGGCUAAGGGGCGUGUCCCCGGCACCAGGGGGCGUGUCCCGGCCCGUGUCAGUCUCUCUGCUGUUCACAGGCGCGUGGCCGUUGCAGUGGCGGCGCCGCCCCCUCCCCCAUAGCGCCGCGCGGAGGCCCCCGAACGCGACAGCCACAGCUUGGCUGAGAAUGUGCUGCUGCCUGCGUAACCACCAACUUCCCACCUCAGAGACUGACUCAGGUUUUUAUCCCUCGCCGCUCUGGACUAUUGAGUGAAGACGCAGCAUCAGUAGUAGUACAACAGGGUCUCUAGAACUGCGGCUGAAUCAGUCGUUCCACGCUUAUUAAAACUUCAGUCCCUGCUUCUGCUGAUUAUGGAGUUCAAGUUCUGCAUUUGUCUCAUCUGUGAACAUUAUGCAGCAUGCUAUUUCUAAUACUGCUGCAGCUCAGUCUUUCAUCUAAUGCAAUUAAUGAGGAAAACCAAAUAAAUAAAAACUCUGAUUUCUGUCAAGGAAACUUACAGCAUCUAAUUCAAGACUUUUCAAACAUUUAUGUUCUUCUGGGCAUGGUAGCUACUGCGCUCCUAUCUAAAUCCCAGUAAGCUUGUACUCACCUAGAACGGGCACCCAGCAGGAUGCCAAAUGAAAUUCCAUGAGCUAUUGCUGCCCUCCUUUUCAGGGCAAAGGGAUAGUUUGGAGAUUGACGACUGUGGUUUACAGCAUAGAAUACCCCUUCUUAGAUCAAAUGUAAGCACUAAUGUGAGCGUUUCCCUCAACUUUCAAACAAAGUGGGUGAAUUUCCUGGGCUCCCGCCGAGUUGUCAUAUGGUUCUUUGUCUGGCAAAGUUUGUAUGCUCCUGGCCUGGAGGACAGAAGCCCUAUAAGCCAAUGCUAAUUAAAAUAGGCUGAAGAUCAUCACAAUUUCUCUUCCAGAUGAUGGCAGCUAGAGUGUCUUGCCAGAGCUGCUUGUGCAAAUCCUUUCUCUGACUAGUGGCUGUGUAUGUGGAGGAGGUGGAAGCACUGUGUGUGCUGUUAGGGACAGAAACUUUUCUUUAAAAAAAGUGGGGUAUGCAAAUGCUGAUGUGUAUUGUAUUCUUUACUUUACAAUAAUACCAUAUUGGUAAUACUAGACAUAAUGAAUUUGGCCUGCUUUUCAGAGACAAUAAAACAGGACUUAUAUAAAAGAGGGUACCA
RNAcentral lists this long non-coding RNA (1185 nucleotides) under Chrysemys picta bellii (western painted turtle). Its description in RNAcentral is "lncRNA (ENSCPBG00000015626.1)". The record is from RNAcentral. Lineage: Eukaryota; Metazoa; Chordata; Testudines; Emydidae.